Gossypium hirsutum (cotton) is the source of this 107-nucleotide non-coding RNA. NCBI's taxonomy places the organism in Eukaryota, Viridiplantae, Streptophyta, Magnoliopsida, Malvales, Malvaceae. The record is from Rfam.
AAACCAUGCAUCGAGCAUUUUCUAAUUAAUUCCUUGAAAUGCUCCCAUGCUUCGUAUUAUGUUUCAUCUACAGAUUACCUGAACGAUGUAAUGUCAUUCCUCAGCUU